UCAGGAAGAAGCGAAGUCUGAACAUGUUGAGGAAAAAGAAGUUGAAACAGUGGAGCAAGAUGUUCCGAAUCCAGUUAAGGAGUAUGAUGAUGAAGAAGAUGAUUUCAUGAAAUGGAGUCAGUAUACGAGUGAAGUGUGAAUGAUGUUAAGUUUCAGUUAAUCUAUAUUCUCCUGCCACAAGGGAUCUUUACAUCUCUUUUGUUAAAUUCCUUUUUGAACUCGGGCCAACAAUAUGGUGUACUUGAGAUAAUCAUUUCAACGGAAUAUAGCAAAAGGGCCAAGUGUUAUUAAUAUGUAGUGACAAUGUAAAGAAAAUUUGUUCUGAUACGUCAGUUUAAUAGUGUAG
Molecule: unclassified non-coding RNA, 346 nt
Filed under: Hevea brasiliensis (rubber tree)
Lineage: Eukaryota; Viridiplantae; Streptophyta; Magnoliopsida; Malpighiales; Euphorbiaceae
Source: RNAcentral